RNAcentral lists this ribosomal RNA (623 nucleotides) under uncultured bacterium. RNAcentral's name for it is "bacterial SSU rRNA". It matches the Rfam family "Bacterial small subunit ribosomal RNA", at positions 55 to 667 of the family's 1533-position model. The record is from RNAcentral.
AUGCAAGUCGAAGGGCAGCGCGAGAGAGCUUGCUCUCUUGGCGGCGAGUGGCGGACGGGUGAGUAAUAUAUCGGAACGUGCCCAGUAGCGGGGGAUAACUACUCGAAAGAGUGGCUAAUACCGCAUACGCCCUACGGGGGAAAGGGGGGGAUCGCAAGACCUCUCACUAUUGGAGCGGCCGAUAUCGGAUUAGCUAGUUGGUGGGGUAAAGGCUCACCAAGGCAACGAUCCGUAGCUGGUUUGAGAGGACGACCAGCCACACUGGGACUGAGACACGGCCCAGACUCCUACGGGAGGCAGCAGUGGGGAAUUUUGGACAAUGGGGGAAACCCUGAUCCAGCCAUCCCGCGUGUAUGAUGAAGGCCUUCGGGUUGUAAAGUACUUUUGGCAGAGAAGAAAAGGUAUCUCCUAAUACGAGAUACUGCUGACGGUAUCUGCAGAAUAAGCACCGGCUAACUACGUGCCAGCAGCCGCGGUAAUACGUAGGGUGCAAGCGUUAAUCGGAAUUACUGGGCGUAAAGCGUGUGUAGGCGGUUCGGAAAGAAAGAUGUGAAAUCCCAGGGCUCAACCUUGGAACUGCAUUUUUAACUGCCGAGCUAGAGUAUGUCAGAGGGGGGUAGAAU